RNAcentral lists this small nuclear RNA (289 nucleotides) under Panthera pardus (leopard). Its description in RNAcentral is "7SK RNA (ENSPPRG00000015248.1)". It matches the Rfam family "7SK RNA". From Rfam's summary of the family: 7SK was discovered as an abundant small nuclear RNA in the mid-70s but a possible function has only recently been suggested. The record is from RNAcentral. Lineage: Eukaryota; Metazoa; Chordata; Mammalia; Carnivora; Felidae.
GAAUGUGAGGGUGACCUGUCACCCCACUGAUCUCCACGUUGAUUGAGCUGAUUUGGUCAGCUAGGAGAUGUCCCCUUCCUCACCACUGCACAUGCAUCCCUUCCACAACUGCACUCAGUGGAGGAGGAUCACCUUCCCCAAUACAGGACUGUUCUUUGGUGAAGGGAAUAGGUGUAGGUGCCCUUCCCUGCUAAACAAGCCCUCAAGGUCCAUUUGCAGGAGAACACAGGGUAGUCAAACUUCUAAGACCUACCACCCUCACCCCCAAAUUAAAGCUGUGCAUUAAGUU